Long non-coding RNA from Bombus impatiens (common eastern bumble bee), 5432 nucleotides. RefSeq lists it as uncharacterized. The record is from RefSeq and is a predicted model, not a curated record. The transcript has 3 exons. NCBI's taxonomy places the organism in Eukaryota, Metazoa, Arthropoda, Insecta, Hymenoptera, Apidae.
UAGCUCGUAACACAUCUCACAAUAAUCUGUUAUGUUGAAACAAUAGGUAUUAUUGGUUGAAGCAUCGAUAGAAAAGUAUAACGACACUUGUGGUUUUAUGCGGAAACCGCUAGAAAUUAGAGAAAAAAACAAACAUCAUUUUUGCGAAUUUGUCAAAAAACUGUUUUCUCUUGAGUUACAAUGAUUUCGAAAUAUGCUAUAAAGCUCAACAGUUUCAACAACUUCUUCCUAUACAUAUAAGUUUCAAGUUAUAUGCAAAAUAUAACUAUAAGAUUGGUAGUACGUAAUGUUAAUCCGGCUGCGCACCGCGUCGUGAGACAGCCAGCCAACAUUGUUUAUAUUAAUAAAGAUAAGGGGAUUCGCAAGGCCUCAUGGAGCCGGAUUAAUAUACUAACUACAUACUAACUGCUAAGGCCGAGCAGCGAGAUAUUUUUACGUAUAACUCGGAAGUUAAAGCCAACCGUCAUUAUAUGUAUAGGAAAAAAUUGUACAAAAUGUUGAGCUUUACGACAUAUUUUAAAAUCAUACGAAGCAAGAUUUUCGACAAAUUCAUCAAAAUGGUUAUUUUUCUCCAAUUUUCUGCGGUUUCCGUGCAAUAAUACUAGCGUCGUUACGUUCCUCUAUUGAUGCUCCAACGAAUGACACUCUUUUCACGAGGAUCCAUCGACUUCCAUAAAGUGAAACGUAUUCAAUAUUUAAUAUUUAAAUUUAAUUACUUUUGAAUUUAUCGUGCGUGCCUCGCGAUCAGAAAUUCCUUUAAAAGUGUGCCUGGUCACGCGGAUAUGAAUUCUAGUGUCUGUACGGGAAACUAGAAACAAGCAUGCGGCUAAAGAACUGGGAACGUUGAAAUAAUUGAAACCGCAUUCAUGAGAUACUCUGUAGGUAGGUUUGUCCCUGUCGAGAAAUCAAUGCAAAUACAACGAAUUUCAUGGCACCACGUGUCAAGAGUAACGAGUGUAGAGUGCGGACGCGCUGGACGAGUAUAAGCGUAGAAGAGGAACGUUAGGGUGAAAGCAAUGUUGGAAGGAUUGCAGGAGAAGAGGGUAUAAGGUAACAUACAUCACGUUCCCAGUUUAUGGUCCGAUACGCUCCUAGGAAUUGGCACCCGUGCUGAGCUUUCCCGCAAAUGUAAGGAACGUAGGGGUACGAAGCAACGAGAUACGAGGCGUUAUGGCUCUUCCUGGCUCGUAACCUCUGGUCAUAAAGCUACUGCACGCUAAAAUAUUGUCCGCCGCCACGUCUCCACGCCUACGCGUCUAUCCGUCGAUCUAUCUUAAUGCUAUUAUCGUAAUUUAUUAGUGGAGUUCCCGGAGAAUGAAUCGAUCCAUCGUAGCCGCCCCAAAAACGGAUCACGGAUAAUCUAAGACGAUCACGCUCGUAAUGAGACUAUUAAAUAAAAGCGAUACCAACUCAAAUUAGUUCACAUCCGUUUAAGUGUACUAUUCGAACAUCGUAUUUUUGUAAGGAAGGAUGGUUAUUAUCAACCACGUAGAAUGCAAUACAGAACCACAUGAAAUAUAAUACAAAAACAAAUAACGUAUUUUCAUUAUCUCUAAUUAUAGAAUCUUCUCCCGGUCGUUUUAGUCACCUUAGUUACGCAAUUUAUCACUUAUCGAUUAAUUGAUAAAUACACGAGAUCAAAUUAAUAUUUAAGAUCCAAAAUGCUUAAGCAGAACGGGGAUCUAUAAUAAGCCAACAUUUAGCAAAGUAGUAUACGAAGAUGUAUAUAUAGAAUUAAUAAAACUGUUAACUUAAUAGAACUCAUUAAUAACUGUUACUAGCUGUUUUUAUAAAUCGAAAUAUCCGUCUUGGCAACUUAAACUAUGGAAGAAAGAUGUUCAUCAAAUAUAUCCACAAGGACAAAAAACGGAGACUGCGCAAAAGACAUUUAAAUAAUGUAGUGUUUCGUAUUUCGAAGAAAAUAUAAGUAAGAAUGACAACUUUGUGAAAGAAACAUUGUGCCAAUUGAAGUCCUCAUUCUCACACUCAGGAUUUAUAAUCAACCGUACAAAUUUAGUGAUGGUAUUAUUUGAUCUCUGCAUUGUCGCUAACAAUCUGCGUCGUAAUAAAUCAUUUCCUCGACAUUGAUUGAAAGCUUAAUUGCACAAAAGACUGGCAAGUCUUAAAAUUUUUAAACGAUCCAAUUAUCGAACUAUUCAUCUUGUUCAAAUGCAUUUAGUUUUACAAUUUAUAAUUUCAAAUUAUAAAUAAUAUUACAAAAAUAUUUUUACUGGCGCAAUUAAUCAGAAAUGAACAAACAGUAUUUUUUAAAUAUUUUCAAAAUCGAUAGGCGAUUUUUAGACGGUUUGAAGAAAUAUAUAUAUAUAUAUAUAUAUAUCACAACAAUUGUUCAAGGCGUACACCAAAGCAAGACUGCGAUUUAAGGUGAUGCGCAUCCGCGAGCGUACUUACACGCAUUCAUAGACACGCUUACACACGUACGAUAUUAUUAUCUCGUGAUUCAUAGCGCGCAUUCAUAAAUGUUCCCAAGCUGUAUAACGGCACGGUACACAGCGCGCGACGGAUGGACGGACACGACCUGGCGACCACGUAUCCAGUUCUUCUUCGGGCGACCUGGUACAAUCGCUGACAAAAGUUCAUUAUAUCUUCGACCUCGACCAAAGCCCCGUUGAUGCACGUAUAUACAAUGUUCGCUUCGUUUCGGUUCGGAGUUACUGUUGUUGCAUUUUCAAGACGUAAGCGUCUUACACGAAGGUGAUAGUGCACGGUAGGAGAUGAAACAAUAGAAAAUAAACCACGGAAUGUAUGAACUAUUGUAAUAUAGUAAAUUAUUACAAAAAAUUUGUUGAAUAUUUGAUCGUGAACGAAAAAAAUGUGUUCAAUUUCUGGUUGUCGGUGAACUUUUGCACGUGAGUAUACGCAAGAAAGAUUGCCGGAUUGUGUGGCGUGCCGCGGCUGCCACCGUCCGCGCCACGAACGUCCAAAUGCUCCAGAGAAGAAGAAAGGGAAACAGAGAAGUAGGAGAGAAACCGAUCGGUCAAGAAAGAAAUAAAGACGAAAAGCUAAAUAGAAAAGGAAGAAGAGAGAAGAGACGAGAAGGGAAAAGAAGGGAACAGAAGGGACGAGAAGAGAAGAGAAGAGAAGAGAAGAGAAGAGAAGAGAAGACAAGGGAAGAGAACAGUGUUGCAGGCGUCCAUGGAAGGCACGUCGUGCAGAACGUCGGCGAACUCGUGUGUGUUCCGUGUUCCGAAUGCACGGAACAAGCGCUGCUUGUCCGCGGCCACCUGAGUUAUGAUCGCUCUGUGCCCACCCUGGCUGCUCGGCUGGCUGCUUGGCUGCCUACCUCCUUGCUUCCCUAACUGCCCUCUUCUUCUUCACCCUUCUACUUUCACAGCGGCCAUCUUGACUCCAGGAACCGGUUAGCUCCUCCGACUUGGUAUAUUCCACACGGUGAGUUUUACGGACACACAUAAACACCGAAUGAACAGUGUUCGGCGACAUCAGCGACUGUAGCGCCCUCGGAAGUCCAUCCGAGUCUACUCGACGUUAAUGGCUCGUGUGGCGCGAGUUCCUUUGUACUGUUUAAUAACGUCGUUAUAUUACCAAGCACGGUCGUCCGGCAGAAUUGAUUUUUAAAUCCACUCGUUUCAAAGUACCGCCCCGAUUCGCUUGCCUUUGUCGAUGCUUUGAAACAUCGAUGCACAGAUGCGUUAGUUAUCGAUAGUUGUUCUCCAUGCUCGUUUGAAGGAUCAAAGCGCGACCGCGAUUAUCGUUGCGUUGAGCUGAGGAAAUUUUAAAGAUAUUACAAAAGAAGAAAAACCACGGAUUGUUUCUCGCGAAACGCGUGAACCGAGAGAUAACACGCUUUAAUAUUCGUGCACGUCUCGAUAGCUGUGUAAGAUUUAUCUUUCAUUAGUAAGUCAUUUGCAUUGAAUAGACACGUUAUGGGUUAACGGGUGUCUCGUUAAUUGUUUGUUCCUGUUCCUUGUCUAACUGCUGACGCCGAUACUGGCGUGGCCUGACGCUUUGACAAGGUACACCGUAGAUAUUACAGCGGUUUGUAGUAUAGCAUAUCAAAUUGCGGUAUGCGAAAAGGUGUAAGAGAGCCAACCGCAGCCCACGGCAACGAGGCGUGGUCGCCGCAAUUACCUCGAUAGAGUUACAAGACUUGUUUUAUGCUCUCGCACAAAUUUAUUAGCCCCAUUCGCGUCAGUUUAAUUACGAAUAAGAUCCGCUGUGAUUCUUUCUCUUUUUCCUCCUUCUCUUUUUCCUAGAGGAAACGUACAGACGUUACAGCUACCUCUUCAUGAGGAUCGGGAACUUCAUUCGGGACCAGUGCAUCUAUACGUGUUACUACACGUUCGAAAAUCCUAAUGAAUUAUACUUACACAGAAGCGCGCUUGAUAUCAAUCGCGUUCAUUUUAUACUAGACGCAUUCCUUGAAACUCCUGCGGUAAUUAGUUUUACCGCUAAACGCUUAGCGGAACCCGAGAGGCUGCUAACUGCUUUCCACCUACGCAACACCGCUUCGCUUCUUCCCUUCUCUACACCUAUUUUCCCUCUUUCUUUCUCUUUGCUCUUUCCGUCCUCAUCAUCGUUAUUCCGCUCGCUUUUUCUCCCUUUACUCCCUUGAAUCUAGGUACCGCCUCGUCGACUCUCUCGCUUCGCCGCUAACAGUGAGCAAUUAAGCGGAGCAAAGCCAAGGAAUAUGUAUUAUGAAAUUAAUUAUAUCGUGAUAUUGGAGUCGCGAGCUGGCGUGCAAGGUGUAGAUAAGCAUUUAAAUUGACACAUUCCUGAUGUAUCUUAGGCUGUGCGGAUAUCGCAUUUACGAUAAACAUUGAUUUUAUUACUGCUUCGACUGUAUGCUGCAGCAGCAGCUUUUACAACCACACAUGCAGAUAAGCCUUUUAUAUUUUGUACUUGCUAAGUUAAUUAUUUUGAGUUCCAUGCACGAUUCUUUUUAAUAUCUUUCACCUGCGUUUGCAUAUUAUUUACGAAUUACACGUCGACACUUUCUCCUAAUUCCUGUUACCGUAAGUAUUAGUAAAAAAAAAGUAAUAUUGAAAAUAUUGCGUCGCAAAGUUAGAUCAAGAUAAAUUUUUAGAAAUAUCGUUAUCGCUAAAAAAUUAUACUUUCUAUGCAAAUAAGUCGUGGAAAAAAUAUUGGAAAUAACGCGUGUCCUGUUUGUACUCGUAAACGGAGAUUCGUUAAAGGAAAGAAGAAACAGCGAAGAAUGUCAGUAAGCGUGGCGCUCGACAUCGAAUCGCAGCCCCUCCACAAACGUGGAAGACAAAUCGGCCCCGGUGGGUGCAAACGUCGUAAUUAUCGGAGGCGGUAAUCUCUCGACGUGGAAGUGGAGGAUGAGGAGAAGGAAGAAGAAGAGGCGCUCAGUGAAAACUGCGUGACAGAGUGGCUCGGCCUGUUCACCCUUGGCGUCCUCCGAGUUGGCGUACCCUUUUGCCCGGAGUGUC